UGCUUGUGCAACAACUUCCACCUGACAUUCCUAUUCAUUGGUCCGUUAAGGCUUCGAUUGCCUAAACAAAUUGUGGGUUUCCUGUGUUGCCUACCUAAAAUAUGGUAUUCAUGUGGCUUAUCCUAUUUCUGUUCGUCUUGUGUCAUGUUGCUCAUGACAUUAGAUGGACCAUAAACCUGUCUCUUUGAACCACAUUGUUAAUGCUUGCGUUGACGUAGUGGCGCAUUGAGCCUUGCUUGGUCUCUUUGAUGUAGUACCUGAUGUGGGCAUAUGGUUCUCGUUGGUUCCUUGUUAUGUCCCCGUUCAGCGUUUACGCUCCCUAAAAUGACUGCUUGACACGCAUUGGCUCGUACCAGCGUGUUGGGCUUUGUCUAAGAGGAAAGU
This 384-nucleotide unclassified non-coding RNA is filed under the name Carphephorus pseudoliatris. Its description in RNAcentral is "partial external transcribed spacer". The record is from RNAcentral. Lineage: Eukaryota; Viridiplantae; Streptophyta; Magnoliopsida; Asterales; Asteraceae.